UCGAAGAACCCGGCGAACUGGCGCGCAGCACGGUAACCGCAAACUUAAAGGCAGUUCGGUACUCGCACGUGGGCCUUCGUUCGUGUCGGAUGUGUGCGCGUAUGAAAAUAUCGCCAAUUGUAAAGGACACCGUCCGUUACCACGUACGUGUCAUCAACAGUGUUCGCGUUAAUAAUUAUCGUUGUAAAUCGUCUCAGGUCUCAGGGAAUACCUACUCCAAUCUAGUAUUAAUGAAUAAAAUUUCUUCGUAACGCGAACGACUGUUGAACGUGUGCAACCGUUAAAUUUUGUAAUUUCGGUUUUAUCGGUCAAUAGAUUAUUUUUACUGUUAGAAGGAUAUCCGUAUUGUUGGUGUGAAUCUCUUUUUAUUGGUGUGUUUGGGAUUAAAGAAACAAGUUCAGUGCAUCGGAAGAGGACAGUGCUUCAAAAAAUUAGAGGUAACAUCCUGUGACGAGAAUCAUCAUUUUGUCUAAAUGGUGGUAAGCCUGUGACGUGAUUAACCGUUGACCAAAGUACCAGAGAAAGGUGUCAAAAUUGAGCAGGUCGUCCUCCCGUCCGGCGGUGAUCUCGCCAAAAUUUGGAGGAUGUUGAUGCCCGGUGCUGCUGGUCUCAGUGCCGUAGGCGCGGUGGGCGCCGUUGGGGCGCCAGGGCCGGACGAGCUGGUGUCGGGCCUUGGCGCUUUGGCCGGCACUACGCCUCAACAGAAGGAUACCACUUGGACGAAACUUUUCGUCGGUGGUUUGCCGUAUCAUACCACCGACAAGAGUCUCAGGGAACAUUUCAACGUGUAUGGGGACAUUGAAGAGGCAGUGGUCAUCACUGACAGGCAGACCGGCAAAAGUAGAGGUUACGGUUUCGUGAUCAUGGGAGACAGGCCAGCGGCAGAGAGGGCGUGCAAAGACCCGAACCCCAUAAUCGACGGUCGCAAAGCGAACGUCAACUUGGCGAUUCUUGGAGCUAAACCCAGGGGUAAUCUGCAAGCGAGGUGCCACCAGGCUACGUGUACCAGUCGCCGUACCUGGCGGCUGCCGCGCCAGGUGGUUUGGUGCCGCUUCCGGCCACGCAGUUGACCCACGCGGCUGCCAUGGCCGCGGCCUCUCAGUUCUACGAGUAUCAGAACGUCGCGGCUGCUGCCGCCACUUAUCCGGGGACGUCGUACAAUUUCGCCGAGGCUUAUCCCUAUACCAGCGCAGCCGCCGCUGGUAUGUGUUUGAAAAGUGUCCAGAGCAAGGACAGCAACGGGCUGAUACACCACCACCAGCAGCACAACGGCAGCAGCCCUGCGGUGCUGGCACACCAACGAUUGGAGAAAGCUCUCCUGCCGCCAUUUCUGCCGUCCGUGCUACGUGGCAACGCGAAUGCAGCGGCAGCGAGUUACGUGACACCAUACACGUAUGCAACGCUACCAGGUGCAGCGGCAGGAUUACCAGCAGCAGCGGCUGCAGCUGCAACAGCGGCGGGCGCAGCCUUCCCAGGACUACCGUAUCAAACGACGCCUCAGGAAGCAAGAUUGCAAUAGAAGUUGAAUGAAUUGCCGCGAGGUGGAGGUUCGAUGCACACCAAUUGUUCCGCCAGCGUUAAAAAAAGAAAAAAAAAAAAGAGAAGAAAAAAGAA
This is an unclassified non-coding RNA of Apis florea (little honeybee), 1614 nucleotides long. Lineage: Eukaryota; Metazoa; Arthropoda; Insecta; Hymenoptera; Apidae. The record is from RefSeq and is a predicted model, not a curated record.